RNAcentral lists this long non-coding RNA (6737 nucleotides) under Citrus sinensis (sweet orange). RNAcentral describes it as "long non-coding RNA (CSIN_LNC003983)". Lineage: Eukaryota; Viridiplantae; Streptophyta; Magnoliopsida; Sapindales; Rutaceae. The record is from RNAcentral.
UAGUACUUACGCACACGACGUGGGAGUAUAAAUAACUUCAAGUCAAGGCUGAUACUAUCGACGAAAAGCUCUAGAACGAGCACGACAAAAUCAAAUUUAUUUAUUUCAGAAUUAGCCAGAAAUCACCUGUACCAUCCAAGUUUCCAUAAGAAAACCGCAUUUUAAGAAAAUGAAGAAAGGGUAGUACUUACGCACACGACGUGGGAGUAUAAAUAACUUCAAGUCAAGGCUGAUACUAUCGACGAAAAGCUCUAGAACGAGCACGACAAAAUCAAAUUUGCGACUCCCAAGUUCCAUCAGACCUUUACGUUUGCAACAUGGUUACGUCGUUGCUUGCUUGCUUUGCUUGUGCCCUUUUUGAUUCGUUAAUUCGUUCCGGUUCCUUUGAAAGCUAAUCUGUCUGAAUUCUGCUGCAUUGAAUGCAAAGUCUAGAAGAGGUACGUUGGCAUCACUUAACAGUAACACGCGAGCACCUCUCCAGAGUCACACUGCAUACUCUAGAGUCUAGAGUAACAGUUUUUUUGGCAGCGGCUUUUGUUGGUUCCCUCGUACAUUCAAGAGGAUUUGGUUUUUGUUUAUCUAUUUAUUUAUUUAUUUCAGAAUUAGCCAGAAAUCACCUGUACCAUCCAAGUUUCCAUAUAUAUAUAAAGCGUGGAAUCGUCAUAAUCUCUGACACAACAGAGCAAAGCCAAAAACAAGAUUCAAUGGAGAACCUCGGAGAGUCUCACAUGCAACAAAAGAAAGGAAGAAGAUUGAUACUCUUUCCGCUGCCUUUUCAAGGCCACAUAAACCCAAUGCUUCAGCUUGCAAACAUUCUCUAUUCAAAAGGCUUUUCAAUCACCAUAAUCCACACCAAAUUCAACUCCCCGAAUCGCUUUUCAAUCACCAUAAUCCACACCAACUUCAACUCCCCGAAUCCCUCAAACUACCCUCACUUCACCUUCUGUUCAAUCCAAGACGGCUUGUCAGAAACUGAAGCCUCUACCACGGAUUUUGUGGCCCUUAUUUCAGUACUGCAUGUUAAGUGUGCUGCGCCAUUUCAGGAUUGCUUGGCCAAGUUGCUGUCAAAUGCUGAGGAGAAGGAAGAAGAGCCUAUUGCUUGCUUAAUCACAGAUGCUAGUUGGUUCUUCACUCAUGAUGUUGCUGAAAGCCUAAAGCUCCCCAGGAUUGUGUUAAGGAGUCUCAGUGUCUCUUCCUCUCUUGUUUAUGCUGCCUUACCAGUUCUAAGCCAAAAGGGUUACUUUCCCAUACAAGGUGCAAUUCAAUAACUUCUUGCUUCUAGUGUGUUUCAUUGAUAAUUUUUUCAGUAGGCAUUGUUUGAUUAUUAAAUAUUUGCCCUCGACAGAUCUUCCCUGAGGAUGAUUCAGAUUCUUGUUACAUAAAAAGUAGUUAAAUAAAAUCUGAAGGACACCAAUUCAUAAUAGUAAUGACUAAUGAUCACUGCACUUGGUAUCUAAAUUAUCUUCUUUUUUUAAUUAUUUUUGUUCUUCAUUGUUCAGAUUCUCAUGAUUUGGAAGCCCCAGUGCCAGAGCUUCCGCCUCUAAGAAUGAAAGACAUUCCUGUCAUUGAAACGCUUUAUCAAGAGACACUGCAUCAAUUUGCAGCAGAAGCAAUCAAUCAGAUGAAGGCUUCCUCAGGAUGCAUAUGGAAUUCAGUUCAGGAACUUGAACAAGAUUCUCUUGCUAAAUUUCACCGGGAGUUCCCCAUUCCAUCGUUCCCUAUAGGCCCGUUUCACAAGUACUAUCCAGCUUCUGCAAGUAGCUUAUUGUCACAAGACCGAAUCUGCAUUUCUAGGUUAGACAAACAGGCACCAAAAUCUGUAAUUUAUGUAAGUUUUGGAAGCAUUGCUGCCAUUGAUGAGACCAAAUUUUUGGAAGUAGCUUGGGGCCUAGCCAACAGCAAGGUGCCAUUCUUGUGGGUGGUACGGCCAGGACUAGUCCGCGGAGCAGAAUGGAUUGAGCUAUUACCACGAGGGUUCUUGGAAAUGUUAGACGGAAGAGGGCAUAUAGUGAAAUGGGCUCCCCAGCAAGAAGUGCUAGCUCAUCCUGCCACCGGAGCAUUUUGGACACAUUGUGGCUGGAAUUCGACGUUGGAAAGUAUGUGUGAAGGUGUCCCCAUGAUAUGCCAGCCUUGUCAUGGUGAGCAAAUGGUGAUUGCAAGAUAUGUUAGUGAUGUUUGGAAAGUUGGUUUGCAUUUGGAAAGGAAGCUGGAGAGAGGGGAGGUUGAAAGGGCAAUUAGAAGAGUAAUGGUGGAUGCCGAGGGGCGGGAAAUGAGGAACAGAGCUGAGAUUCUGAAGGAAAAACUGGAUCUUUGUACAAAGCAAGGCAGUUCUUCAUAUCAAUCUCUAGAAAACUUGAUUAGUUACAUUUUGUCAUACUAGAUUUUCCAAUACUUACAUCUAUCUUUCUAAUAAGGGCAGUAUGAAAAUUAAAACAUGGCAUGUCCCGGCCGUAUUCAAUGAGAUCUUUCUGAAUAUUUAUGUGAUCAGCGUUCCCCAACCCAAGGAGUGAAACUUGAAGGACUUAUCCAAAAUCCGUAGCAAGGCCAAGUUUAUAUUGUUUAAGGGGAUUUUUUUUUUUUUGCAAUAAUUGUGGGGUGUUGAAGAAAAAGCUGAUAAGAUAGUGACCUGCACUCUCUUCUAGUCUUCUUGCAUUAACAGUGUCCGAAGUUUGUGCAUUUGUUGGAUAUUUCUGAUCCUUACAGGAAAUCAAAAGUCGGAUUUGUAUUUGUGAGCUGAAUAAAGACGUGAGUUGGUUUGUGUUGCUCUCGUUGUUUAAUUUCCCCUUCUUCAUGUGAAGGAAUGCAUUAUAUUUCAUUUAGCAAUUUAUUAGAUUAUUAAUUAUUGUUGCUCGUUAAACUAAAGUUUCGUUCACCAAUAAAAUAUUUAAUUAACUCAUUGUACGUGUGUACGGCUAAUGAACAACAGUAUAAGUGAGAAAUUAAACAGAAAGCAGGAAGCAGAAAGAUUCAAUGGAGAAUCAAAUAGAGUCACAUACGCAACAAUAAGAACGGAAUAAGAGUGAUACUCUUCGCAUAAGAGUCCAUGCUUCAGCUUGCAAGCAUUCUCUAUUCCAGAGGCUUCUCAGCCUCUGUAAUUCAAUACCAGCUUCAACUCUCCAAAAUCUUCAAACUACGUACCCUCUCUUCUAGUGGAGCUGUGGAGUUCCCCAAAAAAAACCCAUAAUUUUCUAUCCGACCUUUUCCUUUGAUAUGAUUAUUAGUGGAGGAGAAAAAAUGAGUCAGAAACUUUAGAUUAGACAUCUGCAAUUCUGCAUGGGUAACGUAACGUCACUCAUUCAAUAGUUGGGCUAAAGUUUGGAUUCUUAUAAGAGGGCGAGAUAAGCCCAUUGGGCCUAUAAGCUGAUAACACCGCCGAAAAGCUAACUAAAACAGGAGCAGCAAAUCAAAUUAUUACUUCAGUUUUAUGGCUGCCACAUGGUUCUCUGCUUGUCUUGUCUAAUGGGCAACGCCAAUGCGUCGGUGCUCUGCCUUUGUGCCCCAUCUAAUAAUAUAUUAUGAUUAUGAUUAUUAUCUAAUUCAUGCAUAUCCUUUCUAAGUGAUUGGGUUGCCACUAUUUUACAUUACUUUUUUACAUCCUUUUUUUAUGCAUGUAUUGCUUUAUGCAAGUCUAAAAGAGGUUCUAUGACACAAUCCAUGGGUUUAUCCAAACUCAAAUCAAAUUAAAUGGUUUGGGUUGGGUAAAUCAUUAAAAUGGGUUAGAUGUGGGUUUUAUGUAAAAAACCAUUUCAUUAUGGUUUGGGUAUGGUUUACCCAUGGGUUAUGGAUAAAACCCCAACACUUAAAUUUUCAAAUGAAAUAAAUCACCAUUAAAUUUUUUACGGCUGAUCAAUUAUCAACAGUUUGAAAAUGAAAAUAACAGUAAAAAUAAAUUUAAAUUAAAUAAAUAUUGUUGUAAAUAACAUAAAUUUUUUUUCUUAUUUACAAAAAUAAUUCCUCCCACAUGGAAAGAUCAUCAUAGAAAGAGCAGGAGACUCUACUAAUGAUCAAUAAUAAUUCGGCUUGGAUUGGGUCCGAUAUGCUAGAUGUCGGCUAAUUUUUGGUUAAUAAUUGAAUGUAAUGCCCAUAUUAAGUAUUAAAACAAGAAAUAUAUAUUUUGAUAUGAGUAGAAAAAUUAAUAAUAAAAUUUUUUCUUGUAAUUAUUUAUUUUGUGAACAUUUUCUUAUAAUAAAUAUUUUGUAAUAUUUUAAAAUUAAAUGUAAAAAGUAUAGGUAAAAUAUUUUAUUAUUUAUCUUAUAAUAAAUUUUUAUUUGUCAAUCAAGUUUUCUUAUAAUAAUUUUUUUAUCAUUUUACUAAUAAUUUUCUUAUAUAUUUAUUAUAAGAAAAUUUUCAAAAAAUAAAUAAGUAUAAAAAAAUUUUAUUAUUAAUUUUUUUGUUCAUAUCAAAACAAAUAUUUCUUAUUUUUAAUGCUUUAUUUUUUAUUUAGUUUCUAUUCAUGUGAUUUAUUUAAUUUAUAAUAAAUGUAAAUAAAAGAGUAAUUAAAAAUUACCAAAACGAUAAAUAAAAACAAAUAUUGCAUAAUUAAAUAAAUAACAAGUGGCAAAAUUUAUUAUUAGAUUGUUAAUGUCAUGUUUGUGAAAGUUUAUUAUUAAAGUGUACGUUCUUAUUUAUUGAGAAAUAAUAAUUUUUGUGAUUAAACUUUAUUUUGAUUUUCUAGUAUUCUUUAAUUUAAGGAUUAAGUUAUUGUAAAAUUUAUAAUUUUUAUCCACUAUAUUUUUUAUAUUUUAAUAUCAAUUUAAUAAUUAAUAACAAUUAAUAAUUAUUAUAAUUUUGAUAUAAUUAAAUUUUAUUAAAAUAAAAAUUAUUUUGAUAAUAAAAUUCAAACCAAACCCAAACCAAACUCAAAUGGUUUGGUUUGGUUUGGGUUAAAAAUAUUUGGGUUGGUUUGGGUUGGAUCCAAAUUUUUAUGGUUUGGUUUGGGUUGACUUAAAAUCCAACCCAAACCAACCCAUGCCCACCCCUAGAUAGGGUCAUACAAACUCAAAAAAGUAAGCACCUCUUUCUUUUUAUAUGCAUUUAAUUUUUGACCUACUUGGUGUGCUAGUGUUAUGGUGUAAAGACAAGAUUGGAUCUGUAAUCUCAAAACAAAAUUUAGUGGGUGAUGUCAUUGUGCAAUAUUGUCACGAGCCUUCUGGUUGAUUCAUAAUGUCGGCAUUAUUUAUAGAACAUUAUAGAAUAUAAAAUAAAUUUACGAAAUUAUAUUUGAUAGUGAACUGUUUUAUGGGAUCCCCUAUCUUACAUGCAUGUAAGAUACAUGUCUCUCACAUGAAUAGUGUGUGGGUCCCACAUAUACACUAUUCAUGUGAGAGGCAUGUAUCUUACAUGCAUGUAAGAUAGAGUUUGCCCUGUUUUAUUGAUCUUUGUGCAUGAGACUCAGUUUUCUUAACACCAAGAGAUUCCAUUUGUCGGCUCAAUAAUUUAUGAAGGUGAGUUUGUAUAUUAUAUAGAUCAUGCGAAUUGCGACCGUCUCUUAAAAGGUGGCAUUUGUUGGAUUCCUUGUACAUUUUAGGUGUUUUUGAUAUACUAUAUUUUAUUAUAAUGUAAUAUAAUAUAAAGUUUUGUAAUGUUUGGUAUUAUAUCGUACAUUAUUAUAUAUAAUAUUAUUUAUAUUAAAUUAAUUUUUUAUAAUUAUAAAUAUCUUAAAAAUUUUAUAGUUUAUAUUUAUUAUUUAAAUUUAUAAAUAUAAAUAAAAUUAUUCACCAACGAUCACCGUGAACCAUUGCAAAUUGCUUCGGGCAUUCAUAUUUUGAUAAUUUUUUUUAAACUUCAAUUCUAGUGCUAUUAGAAUCCUUGUCAGCGGAUCGGAUCUAUACAACGAGUGAGCAAAAGCUUUGAUUCUGCUAUUACAUAUGCUAUCGAGUAAUUCCAAUGAUAAAGACUCCAUUGGUACCAAAAUUGAUGUCAAAGAAUGCUAAAAUAAUAUUAUUGGUGGUGGAUUGUGGUGGUCAGCAUUCGAAUUUAUUGUUUUAUAAACUAAUAAUAAAUAAAUUAAAUAUAUUGUAAUUGAUUAAAUAAUUCUACGUUUUAAAAGUCAGCAAUAUAUCUUAGUCACGGUGGGAUUGUAUAUCAUUACUUUAUGGGCCCAGCAUUACUUUGAUAUUGCGGCAAAAGAUGCAUUAAGGCCUUCGGUUAAUGUUGCUCAAUGCAAAUUUAAUAUAGAAAGCAGAGUCAUUUGAAUCUUUCAUUAAACACAACAUAGCAAGCCAAAAGAAGAAAGAUUCAAUGGAUGUACUUGGAGAUUCUCACAUUCAUCAAAAGAAAGGAAGAAGACUGAUACUCUUCCCACUGCCUUUACAAGGCCACAUAAACCCAAUGCUUCAGCUUGCAAACAUUCUCUAUUCAAAAGGCUUUUCAAUCACCAUAAUCCACACCAACUUCAACUCCCCGAAUCCCUCAAACUACCCUCACUUCACCUUCUGUUCAAUCGAAGACAGCUUGUCAGAAACUGAAGCCUCUACCGCGGAUUUAGUGGCUCUUCUUUCACUACUUAAUGUUCAGUGUGUUGUGCCAUUUCGGAAUUGCUUGGCUAAGUUGUUGUCAAAUGUUGAGGAGGAGGAAAAGGAGCCUAUUGCUUGCUUAAUCACGGAUGCUACUUGGUACUUCACUCAGGCUGUUGCUGAAAGCCUAAAGCUCUCCAGGAUUGUGUUAAGGACUAAUAGCGUCUCUUCAUUUCUUGUUUUUUCCGCCUUUCCAGUUCUAAGCCAAAAGGGUUACUUCCC